Prinia subflava (tawny-flanked prinia) is the source of this 2750-nucleotide long non-coding RNA. RefSeq lists it as uncharacterized. Lineage: Eukaryota; Metazoa; Chordata; Aves; Passeriformes; Cisticolidae. The record is from RefSeq and is a predicted model, not a curated record. The transcript is spliced from 2 exons.
GUUUGAAGGGAAGUGAGUUUUUUUUGGAAGUAGUGGUCAAACCAAUUAGUUUUUAGAUCUGAAUAUUGGCACCUUUGUUGGCCACUAAGAGGGUGGACACGCCUCUGAGGACACGAGGGGUUAAAAGCCGGAUUUCCCAGCAGGACUCCCUCUUUCCUGCUCUGCUUUCGGAGAGGGAGCGUCUUCUCCUCUUCCCCUGCCCAGGCCUGGGCUAGGCCGGGUGGGGGAGGGGAGCAAGGUUGGGCCUGGCUGGGCAAGGUGGGCCUCGGGGUGGGGAACAGAGGGAGCUGGAGUGGAGCUGGUCCAGCUUCCAUCUAGAAUGGAGGGGUGGAGGGAGAACUUUGGAGGUGCCUUCCGUCCCCCCCCCUCCCUGUCCCAUCCCGUUCCCCCCCCCUUCCCCCCCCGGUCCCGUCUCUCUCCUCCCCCCACAGAGAGAAGGUGCCGAGUUGGAGCUGCUUGUGAGAGCUGCAGUGUCUGCGAUCGCCUGUGCCUGACCUUGGUGGUGGGAGAUAAAGCUUUUAACUCUUUCUAAGGCAGAAGAGAGUUAUCCCUGGACGCUGUAUUCUCAUAGUUGGUGGUUUUGGGAGAGAGAGGACAGCCUGGGACCGAGAGGGUAAUGUGAGAUGAAAAGAAGCCCCUUCGAUUGCUGGAAUGAAGAGGAGUGGCUUAUGAAGCUGGACUUUUCUUGCAUAAUGAUAGCCAUAGACGGACCCUGGACCCUCCUGACUAUAAAUAAGACUGUGUUUGGGUGGAUGUUUUUGGCUCAAACCCAGAGACGUUUUGGCCUGCUUCGUGGAGCCCCCGGCCCCAGGGGUAAAUGGGGGGGACCUGAGUCCCAAAAUGAGAAGAUGGCUGGUUUUUGGUACUUGGCCAAAACAUCCUUAAAAAGAGCCCUGUUGCAGUGCAGGUCCAUGGACGGCAGUGAGAGUGCCGGACAUGGAAAGGAGGGUGUCACCCUGGCAGACCCUUCCAGGCAGUGCCAUGGGUGACGUGGGAACACGGGAUGGUGGACCUGUGUUUCCUGUGGGGGGGGGUCUGUGGUGCGAGAGAGACUCCUCUCAUCCUGGAUGGAAUGUGGAUUGUCUGAAUUUUAAAGGAUGACGAUUUGGAUUAGGAACCCAGGGUUGUUGAGGGAUUAAGCAAGUAGAUGAAGGUAAUGUGCCGGAGUCAACUGAGUGAGCAUGUAUGGAAUGGAAUUGGGGGGAGGAGAAGCAGUGUUUUUGGGAGGUUUUCUCUUCUGCUUUUGGGUGGCUGGGUUUUUUUCUUUCCUUUUCUAUUGUCCAUUGUUAUGUACUGUAAUAAAUUGUCUGUCUGUUUCAAGAAGUAGGCCUGCUCUGCUCUGUUCUUGACCACAUCUCACAGUAGCUCAUUAGGUAAAAUAUACUCUCAUGGGUGCAUUGGCAUUUUGUCCAAUGUCAACCCAUGACAUUUUUGGUUCCCUGACCGGGAAAUCGAGAUUUUGUAAGAUGAAAACUGUGAGAUGGGAUCAAAGAGGAACAAGAGCAAAGCAUGAAAUAGGUGAUAACAUAAAUGUAUGAAUGUAAUGUUGGUGUUAGUUUAUAAAUAUGUGUCCUCAGAGGGCGAGGGGUGGAGUGUCGUGGUUUGAAGGGAAGUGAGUUUUUUUUGGAAGUAGUGGUCAAACCAAUUAGUUUUUAGAUCUGAAUAUUGGCACCUUUGUUGGCCACUAAGAGGGUGGACACGCCUCUGAGGACACGAGGGGUUAAAAGCCGGAUUUCCCAGCAGGACUCCCUCUUUCCUGCUCUGCUUUCGGAGAGGGAGCGUCUUCUCCUCUUCCCCUGCCCAGGCCUGGGCUAGGCCGGGUGGGGGAGGGGAGCAAGGUUGGGCCUGGCUGGGCAAGAGAGAAGGUGCCGAGUUGGAGCUGCUUGUGAGAGCUGCAGUGUCUGCGAUCGCCUGUGCCUGACCUUGGUGGUGGGAGAUAAAGCUUUUAACUCUUUCUAAGGCAGAAGAGAGUUAUCCCUGGACGCUGUAUUCUCAUAGUUGGUGGUUUUGGGAGAGAGAGGACAGCCUGGGACCGAGAGGGUGAUGUGAGAUGAAAAGAAGCCCCUUCGAUUGCUGGAAUGAAGAGGAGUGGCUUAUGAAGCUGGACUUUUCUUGCAUAAUGAUAGCCAUAGACGGACCCUGGACCCUCCUGACUAUAAAUAAGACUGUGUUUGGGUGGAUGUUUUUGGCUCAAACCCAGAGACGUUUUGGCCUGCUUCGUGGAGCCCCCGGCCCCAGGGGUAAAUGGGGGGGACCUGAGUCCCAAAAUGAGAAGAUGGCUGGUUUUUGGUACUUGGCCAAAACAUCCUUAAAAAGAGCCCUGUUGCAGUGCAGGUCCAUGGACGGCAGUGAGAGUGCCGGACAUGGAAAGGAGGGUGUCACCCUGGCAGACCCUUCCAGGCAGUGCCAUGGGUGACGUGGGAACACGGGAUGGUGGACCUGUGUUUCCUGUGGGGGGGGGUCUGUGGUGCGAGAGAGACUCCUCUCAUCCUGGAUGGAAUGUGGAUUGUCUGAAUUUUAAAGGAUGACGAUUUGGAUUAGGAACCCAGGGUUGUUGAGGGAUUAAGCAAGUAGAUGAAGGUAAUGUGCCGGAGUCAACUGAGUGAGCAUGUAUGGAAUGGAAUUGGGGGGAGGAGAAGCAGUGUUUUUGGGAGGUUUUCUCUUCUGCUUUUGGGUGGCUGGGUUUUUUUCUUUCCUUUUCUAUUGUCCAUUGUUAUGUACUGUAAUAAAUUGUCUGUCUGUUUCAAGAA